Molecule: long non-coding RNA, 967 nt
Organism: Lolium rigidum
Lineage: Eukaryota; Viridiplantae; Streptophyta; Magnoliopsida; Poales; Poaceae
Exons: 5
Source: RefSeq, a predicted model, not a curated record
UGGCCGUGUCGUCCUCCAUGGCAUCCGUGGACGCCGCGAUGUCUCCUCCCGCCUAUUCCUCCGCUGUUCCAUGGCCGCCGCCUCCAUACGCCUCAAGCUCUGCGAUGGGACUGGAGCCAGGGUCGUGGGCGACAACGAUGUUGCGUCCGUCCCCGCUACUCCCCCUAUGAGUUAUGAUGGAGGUACCAGAUGCCUAUCAUUGAUGUUGAUCAUUCGUUGGUGACCUCCAAUGCCUGGUUGUAAGAGAGUUCCUCCUUGAAAAACGCACCAUAUCAUAGGCAUAAAGUCCAGUCCAAACACGCAAAUGGUGAAGCCUGAUCGUUAAUAUGCCAAUAUUUCUGCCCCACAUAUGAUUUUAGUUGUGCCUGCACAUGUGAAGGGAGAUUAUAGUUGCAAGAUCUGAAAGCUAUCCACGCUUCUUGGUAAUGGACUCUCCAGUUGGUACUUGAUGAGCUUUCAAUAUAUAUUGAUUGUGUUGGAUGCGUAUAUUUUUUUUAGAUGGAUAGCAAGUUGUAUGUAGCAAGGGUUAUUGGGAGGGGAGACUGAAACUAAGAUCUAUCCGGUGAGUUGAGGUAAAAGGUGGGGUGCCAGAAAUAUUCAAUGUGAUGUAUGCACAAACACUUUUGAUGCUAAAACUUUUGUACAUGUAUUCCAUAGUAUUUUUCCACAUACACUGGUACCUAUAUUUCAUCAUACUUGCCACAUUAUAUGGUUUCAGUUAGUACACUGCAAUGGAAUCUACAAAAGAGUACUAUAAGGAGAAGCAUGCAGCAACUUUCUGGAUUAUCAGAGAAGUGUAUGCAAGAGUUGUCUGCCACCAAAGCAGAUUCCAGAUAAAAUGCUAACCCUGAGAGGAGAAAGAUGAGAGGGAGGUGUAACGUGGUUGUUGCUGCUGCUUGAGGACUCCACGGAAGAAAAAUAGAAGAGAAGACGAAGAGAAGAGAAAGGCCCGCAUAUCUUUAUGGAG